This 73-nucleotide transfer RNA is filed under the name Patescibacteria group bacterium. Its description in RNAcentral is "tRNA-Thr". It matches the Rfam family "tRNA". Rfam says of the family: Transfer RNA (tRNA) molecules are approximately 80 nucleotides in length. Their secondary structure includes four short double-helical elements and three loops (D, anti-codon, and T loops). The record is from RNAcentral.
GCCGCGGUAGCUCAGUCGGUAGAGCGCACCCAUGGUAAGGGUGAGGUCGACGGUUCAAUCCCGUUUCGUGGCU